This 465-nucleotide ribosomal RNA is filed under the name uncultured bacterium. RNAcentral describes it as "partial 16S ribosomal RNA". It matches the Rfam family "Bacterial small subunit ribosomal RNA", at positions 28 to 507 of the family's 1533-position model. The record is from RNAcentral.
GACGAACGCUGGCGGCGUGCUUAACACAUGCAAGUCGAACGGAAAGGCCCUGCUUGCAGGGUACUCGAGUGUCGAACGGGUGAGUAACACGUGGGUGAUCUGCCCUGCACUUCGGGAUAAGCCUGGGAAACUGGGUCUAAUACCGGAUAGGAGCCAUUUUUAGUGUGAUGGUUGGAAAGUUUUUUCGGUGUAGGAUGAGCUCGCGGCCUAUCAGCUUGUUGGUGGGGUAAUGGCCUACCAAGGCGGCGACGGGUAGCCGGCCUGAGAGGGUGGACGGCCACAUUGGGACUGAGAUACGGCCCAGACUCCUACGGGAGGCAGCAGGGGGGAAUAUUGCACAAUGGGCGCAAGCCUGAUGCAGCGACGCCGCGUGGGGGAUGACGGGCUUCGGGUUGUAAACUCCUUUCGCUAGGGACGAAGCUUUUUGUGACGGUACCUAGAUAAGAAGCACCGGCUAACUACGUG